GCAUGCAGGUGAGAAGGGAAGAUACGUGUAAUCUGCAUGUCUGCCAACAUUCCUUGUUACCCUUUUUCAUAUCCCAUGAACACAGCACUCCAGCGGACCUACCCAAAAUAUGUGGGAGUUCAGUGAAACUCAAAUGAAACAACUAGGAGUUGAAGAGUUGCCCACACAGUCAAUGGAAAAGAGGAGAGAGAAUUCAGCUCCCUAUGCGAGGCUUGUGGGGCAGGAAGGCUUCUUAUGAGAUAGAGCUGCAUCCUUCCUUCUGCGAGAGCAAGCCUGAACCUAUGUUUGCAGCAGACUUAGGAGAGUGGUCCUCAGAGGGGCCAGAGCAAGCAUGCUUCUGGUCAGCCUAUACAGUCUCUGUCCUGGUGAGGAGCAUGAUCACCAACAGGCAAGAUCUUCUGGCCUCGAAGUUUCGCUUGAGCUAAAAGAGCUCAUCUCAGGACUUUCUGAAUUUUCAGCCCAUAUGACAUGGAAGAAGAGUUAGAAGGGGAAUCUGACUGCUUGGAUCAGGGACUGUCUGGCUAGUGGAACUUGAAUAGAUGUACAGUGCACCACUUUGAGGAUCAAGUCUGACCCUGCCUUUAAAUUUGGAUUCAAAGUACUUAGAUUUUCUGGAAUCCCAUUCUACAAUCUUCUGGUCGAAAGUAUAAAACCAGUCUGCAGGUGUACCCAACAGCUCCGAAGAGACAGUGACAUCAAGAACGGGCCAUGAUGAUGAUGGCGGUUUUGUCGAAAAGAAAAGGGGGAAAUGUGGGGAAAAGCAAGAGAGAUCAGAUUGUUACUGUGUCUGUAUAGAAAGAAGUAGACAUAGGAGACUCCAUUUUGUUCUGUACUAAGAAAAAUUCUUCUGCCUUGAGAUGCUGUUAAUCUAUGACCUUACCCCCAACCCCGUGCUCUCUGAAACAUGUGCUGUGUCAAACUCAGGGUUAAAUGGAUUAAGGGCGGUGCAAGAUGUGCUUUGUUAAACAGAUGCUUGAAGGCAGCAUGCUCAUUAAGAGUCAUCACCACUCCCUAAUCUCAAGUACCCAGGGACACAAAAACUGCGGAAGGCUGCAGGGGCCUCUGCCUAGGAAAGCCAGGUAUUGUCCAAGGUUUCUCCCCAUGUGAUAGUCUGAAAUAUGGCCUCAUGGGAAGGGAAAGACCUGACUGUCCCCCAGCCCAACACCCGUAAAGGGUCUGUGCUGAGGAGGAUUAGUAUAAGAGGAAAGCAUGCCUCUUGCAGUUGAGACAAGAGGAAGACAUCUGUCUCCUGCCCGUCCCUGGGCAAUGGAAUGUCUCGGUAUAAAACCCGAUUGAACAUUCCAUCUACUGAGAUAGGGAAAAACCGCCUUAGGGCUGGAGGUGGGACAUGCAGGCAGCAAUACUGCUUUGUAAAGCAUUGAGAUGUUUAUGUGUAUGCAUAUCUAAAAGCACAGCACUUGAUCCUUUACCUUGUCUAUGAUGCAAAGACCUUUGUUCACGUG
Molecule: non-coding RNA, 1463 nt
Filed under: Pan troglodytes (chimpanzee)
Lineage: Eukaryota; Metazoa; Chordata; Mammalia; Primates; Hominidae
Source: RNAcentral